Molecule: ribosomal RNA, 468 nt
Filed under: uncultured bacterium
Lineage: Bacteria
Description: partial 16S ribosomal RNA
Rfam family: Bacterial small subunit ribosomal RNA
Source: RNAcentral
GACGAACGCUGGCGGCGUGCUUAACACAUGCAAGUCGAACGGAAAGGCCCUGCUUUUGUGGGGUGCUCGAGUGGCGAACGGGUGAGUAACACGUGAGUAACCUGCCCUUGACUUUGGGAUAACUUCAGGAAACUGGGGCUAAUACCGGAUAGGAGCUCCUGCUGCAUGGUGGGGGUUGGAAAGUUUCGGCGGUUGGGGAUGGACUCGCGGCUUAUCAGCUUGUUGGUGGGGUAGUGGCUUACCAAGGCUUUGACGGGUAGCCGGCCUGAGAGGGUGACCGGCCACAUUGGGACUGAGAUACGGCCCAGACCCCUACGGGAGGCAGCAGUGGGGAAUAUUGCACAAUGGGCGGAAGCCUGAUGCAGCAACACCGCGUGCGGGAUGACGGCCUUCGGGUUGUAAACCGCUUUCGCCUGUGACGAAGCGUGAGUGACGGUAAUGGGUAAAGAAGCACCGGCUAACUACGUG